CAAAGUAAAGCUUAUUAGUUGAGUUAUUCGUUUACAUCGAAGGGGUUCCUGUGCAAUUCGGGUUGCUUUGA
Molecule: transfer RNA, 71 nt
Filed under: Ctenolepisma longicaudatum (long-tailed silverfish)
Lineage: Eukaryota; Metazoa; Arthropoda; Insecta; Zygentoma; Lepismatidae
Description: tRNA-Val
Source: RNAcentral